UCAGAGACGACGUUUUCAAGGACAGGGUUGCGUGGUUCACGGACAUCUGCUGCUAUAAAAAGACCCCAAACACCCAAGAUCGCCACUCCAUCCCUGGAACACACACAGACUGUCAUCACAAAGACCAGGUUUAAAAGCCCAAACAGCAGCAGGAAAUAUGGCAAACUGGUGCCCCUCCGCCAAGGUGAUCCUGUUCGAGAAGGAAUGCUUUGGAGGUAGAUAUUUGACAGUCUCGCAGGACAUGGACUGUUUGGGAGCCUUCGACAACUCUGUGUCAUCCGCCAUUGUCCAGGAGGGAGACUGGGCGCUGUACAGUGAGGUCAAAUGUUCCGGGAAGCGGAUGAUCCUUUCUGAAGGACAGAGCUACAGCAGCCUCCCUAGCAUGAAUAACACUGCUUCAUCCAUUUGUAAAAUUUGAGUUUCAGCUGACGCCAACAUGGUGUAGCAGCUCCUCCUUAGGUGGACGACUGACUUGCCUCACACUGACAUGGAUGCCCCGCAACACGUACAGCAACAUAGACGCCGUGUUUCAAUAUCUACA
This 541-nucleotide long non-coding RNA is filed under the name Haliotis rubra (blacklip abalone). RNAcentral's name for it is "uncharacterized LOC124274654". The record is from RNAcentral. Lineage: Eukaryota; Metazoa; Mollusca; Gastropoda; Lepetellida; Haliotidae.